ACUGCGGGGGUGGGGGCGGGGGCCUGGCCAGCCAGCCCUGCAGAGGGCCCCGCGGGCGAGGCCGAGCCCUCCAGAGUGCGCUCUGCCCCCUAGGUGCCCCGCAGGUGGGCUCCUCGGACUGGCCUUGGCCCGGGGGUCUUUAAGGAGGGGUUCGCCACGCACUUUCCCUGGCGUCUCAAGAAGACCAUCCUUCGGUCUGGAUCCCUGGCCACGCCUUUUGGCCCAGGGAGGCCCGAGUCCGGCUGUCUGUCUCCAUCCCUGCUUCGCACUUAGCGGAGACCCUGCCUCGCCCUUUCUCUCCCCUCUUAUCUCCGUAGACCUCUCAUAUUCCCGGGGUCCCUUUGCCCUGUAUCCCAAGACGUGCCCUUUUCUUAGUAACAGCUCUAAACGAAAGACAUGAGGCCUAAGACUGAAAUGAGGUUGUUUUGAGGUCAUCUGAUUUCUGACUAGAAGGUGUGCGAUCGCCUCGUCCUGAAACCACUGCAGACAGAAUGGUUUGCAAUUUUUUUUGGUGAUGGCAUGUUCAGAAUCUUGGAUCCCUAAGUUGAAUAUGUUGGAAAUAUUUAGGAACUCUGGAAAUUGUUGUUUUUGUAUAUAUAAUGACUUACUAGGUGAAUCAAUAGAUUUAAUAAAACAUAUAGAAUAGGC
This is an RNA transcript of Bubalus bubalis (water buffalo), 648 nucleotides long. RefSeq lists it as uncharacterized. Lineage: Eukaryota; Metazoa; Chordata; Mammalia; Artiodactyla; Bovidae. The transcript is spliced from 4 exons. The record is from RefSeq and is a predicted model, not a curated record.